RNAcentral lists this ribosomal RNA (1745 nucleotides) under Chaetothyriales sp. MACrh12d. RNAcentral's name for it is "partial 18S ribosomal RNA". It matches the Rfam family "Eukaryotic small subunit ribosomal RNA", at positions 400 to 1739 of the family's 1831-position model. Lineage: Eukaryota; Fungi; Ascomycota; Eurotiomycetes; Chaetothyriales. The record is from RNAcentral.
GAAACGGCUACCACAUCCAAGGAAGGCAGCAGGCGCGCAAAUUACCCAAUCCUGAUUCAGUGAGGUAGUGACAAUAAAUACUGAUACGGGGCUCUUUCGGGUCUCGUAAUUGGAAUGAGUACAAUCUAAAUCCCUUAACGAGGAACAAUUGGAGGGCAAGUCUGGUGCCAGCAGCCGCGGUAAUUCCAGCUCCAAUAGCGUAUAUUAAAGUUGUUGCCGUUAAAAAGCUCGUAGUUGAACCUUGGACCUGGCUGAUCUGUCCUCCUAAUCGAGCGUACGGAUUCGGUCGGGUCUUUUCUUCUGGGGAGCCUUAUGCCCUUCACUGGGUGUAAUGGGGAACCAGGACUUUUACCUUGAAAAAAUUAGAGUGUUCAAAGCAGGCCUUUGCUCGAAUACAUUAGCAUGGAAUAAUAGAAUAGGACAUCGGUUCUAUUUUGUUGGUUUCUAGGACCGCUGUAAUGAUUAAUAGGGAUAGUCGGGGGCGUCCGUAUUCAAUUGUCAGAGGUGAAAUUCUUGGAUUUAUUGAAGACGAACUACUGCGAAAGCAUUCGCCAAGGAUGUUUUCAUUAAUCAGUGAACGAAAGUUAGGGGAUCGAAGACGAUCAGAUACCGUCGUAGUCUUAACCAUAAACUAUGCCGACUAGGGAUCGGACGGUGGUUUUUUUAUGCCCCGCUCGGCACCUUACGANNNNNNNNNNNNNNNNNNNNNNNNNNNNNNNNNNNNNNNNNNNNNNNNNNCGCAGGCUGAACUUAAAGAAAUUGACGGAAGGGCACCACAAGGCGUAAACAGCCGUAGUUAACUCUGCGCCUGAAAGGCACCUAGACACAAAUAGGUUGUGGCCAGUCCUCCACCCUUGGGGUGGGAAUAAGCCUAGUUGAGCCUUACUGCUUCCCUGAAAGUGAACAGGGGCGACGGCGGUAAGGUUGGCGAGACCGUCAAAUUGCGGGGAAGCUUCAGAACCACUAACUACCGCUAAUCAUUCCGAAAGGUUGGUUGUGCACCCGGGUAACGCCCAGGGGUAUGGUCAUAAUGUUAGUGGUGGAGUUAUCCGCAGCUAAGCUCCUGCGGGGCGAUGAAUGCUUCACUGCCUACGGAGAAAGUCCAGAGACUAGACGGCGGUCGGUUCCAGGGAGCGAUGUUUCCAUAUCUGGAGCUUAAGGUAUAGUCCGCUUACUACAUUGCAUGUGCAACCGUUAAUAAAUGGGAGCCUGCGGCUUAAUUUGACUCAACACGGGGAAACUCACCAGGUCCAGACAUGCUUAGGAUUGACAGAUUGAUAGCUCUUUCUUGAUUGUAUGGGUGGUGGUGCAUGGCCGUUCUUAGUUGGUGGAGUGAUUUGUCUGCUUAAUUGCGAUAACGAACGAGACCUUGACCUGCUAAAUAGCCCGAUUGACUUUUGUCGGUCGCCGGCUUCUUAGAGGGACUUUUGGCUCAAGCCAAUGGAAGUACGAGGCAAUAACAGGUCUGUGAUGCCCUUAGAUGUUCUGGGCUGCACGCGCGCUACACUGACAGAGCCAGCGAGUACAUCACCUUGGCCGAAAGGUCUGGGUAAUCUUGUUAAACUCUGUCGUGCUGGGGAUAGAGCAUUGCAAUUAUUGCUCUUCAACGAGGAAUGCCUAGUAAGCGCAAGUCAUCAGCUUGCGUUGAUUACGUCCCUGCCCUUUGUACACACCGCCCGUCGCUACUACCGAUUGAAUGGCUCAGUGAGGCCUUGGGACUGGCUCAGAAAGGUCGGCAACGACCA